This is a long non-coding RNA of Homo sapiens (human), 4601 nucleotides long. Ensembl annotates it as Gfo/Idh/MocA-like oxidoreductase domain containing 3, pseudogene. Its record names the gene GFOD3P. NCBI's taxonomy places the organism in Eukaryota, Metazoa, Chordata, Mammalia, Primates, Hominidae. The record is from Ensembl.
CCUUCUCCUGUGGGACAACCAGGGACCGCAGCUCCCCGCUCCCCAGGUGUGGGGGCUCCGACACGAACGCCUCUGCUCGCAGGGCGGUGAGCGCAGAUCCCACGGGUCCCUCGGUCGGGGGUCGAGGCUGCUUCCGUUUCCAUCCCGGACCCGACAAUGGGCGGGAAAAAGAAGGCUUUACACGACUACGCGGCGGAGUUCACCGACCUGGUGGUGAAGCACCUGAUUGAGCACAGUGACUCUGGGGACACGUCUGUGGUGGAGACCCUUUACUGCAGGGCCUGCGAGCUGCCCGUGCGCGUGCGGAGGGACCGCAUCCUGGAACACCUGUCCUCGGGCAGGCAGCACGGCCUGCGGACGCCCAUUCUCAUGUAAAUGUCAGUGCCAACGCUGGUGUUUCAGGAGUCAUCCCAGCGGGCUGCGGGCUAUUUUAGGAUUCUCUGCCCUGCAAACGUUUCCAAAGUACGUGGACAGGCCGCCUGAUGACACUACGUUUACGGGAUCUGCUAGUGGCUUGCCUACUUAGGGAGUAAACCCUGUGAAGUCUCGCAGUUUUGUUAAAGUGUGCGUGGCCACCUGAAUGCUGCCUUAUCACAAGCCAGAUACAUACUGGUCUGUAGGGUAACUCCCCACUGUUGAUCCUCUGAGAUGAUUGUGGACUGGGUGCUGUGAGUCCUGCCACUUUGUUUAAGUGAAUGUGUCUUUUGUCCAGCUCAGCCGCCUCGGAUCUCGCUGCCACCAGCCUUACUGCACACCCGUGCCACCCGCCCUUGCCCCGUCAGCCUCAGCCUCAGCUCAUUCUCUCAGGCAGUCCCAGCAUUGGCACGGUACCUCCUCCCGCUGUGGGCCACACGUCUCUGCUCCCUGUCAACCCUCCUGCCAUCAGCACCACCACCAGCGACUUGUCUGCCCGGGAGGAUGCAACACCAUCUGCCUCCACCGGCCACCUUUCAGUGUUUCCUGCUUUCCAAGUAAAGAUACCAGCAGUGCCCUCAGAGCAGACCAGCCAGAGUUUUUCUGAAGCCUCCCACAGGGUGCUCCCCGGAGGAGGCCCGAGAUGCUCUCGUGACUUUGGAGCCGGGGUGGCUGGCCACCUUGGCCUGGGCAUCUUUGGGGUGGGCUUCGGGAGCCCGGCACUGCUGCAGAGUGUGGUGGAUGAGAACAGCUGCUGCUUGCUGUACGUGGUGGAGGACCAGCUGUGUGAUGUGGAGCAAGCCUUCAGAGCUGAGCAUUUGGGCCAACACCAGAGUGGUUCGGGAACAGGAUGCAGACAUUGUCCUCAACGACCAGCGGCACUUUGAUCCGGUUUUCCAGUUCUUGCACAAGCAAGUUUGUGUCAGCCACGCCCUGGGGAGGAUCCACUGGAUCACCGCCGUCACUGCCUGUUCCCGGCGGCCUCUCCGGCUUCCCUAAAGAGAGCAGUAGCUUCCCUCGAGACCAGAAGCCAGAGCUCACCCUCCCUUGUGUCCAGGUGGGACUUUCUACAACGCUGCUGUGCACGACGUGGAUGCCGUAUGCAUGUUGCUGGGGGAAGCCACUCCGGACACUGUGUUUUCUCUGGGACAUGUCUUCUGCCCAGGUUGCAAAGGUGAAGAAACACAGUCCCGGCUGGAAGUCACAGCCAGGGUGGGAUGCACACAGAUUAGCAGAUCAUCAGCGAGCACCAGAUAUGGCCGCCUUAAAAGAUGCAGAUGCUGUUGUGAUCAGCAUGAAGUUUCCCUGUGAGGCCGUGGUUAGCGUGGACAUCAGCCAGCACUGCACAGACAGCUGCGACCAGGACGUCAGCCAGCACUGCACAGACAGCUGCGACCAGAGACUGGAGGUGACCCUUGCCCUUUUCCACCCUUCGCCAGUCCACUGUGAAAAGCUGGGUUGAUUGUGCGGGUUAGAUAGAGGUCAUCAGCCGGGUUGAUUGUGUGGGUUAGACAGAGGUCAUCAGCCAGGUUGAUUGUGUGGGUUAGAUAGAGAUCAUCAGCCUGGUAGAUUGUGUGGGUUAGAUAGAGGUCAUCAGCCAGGUUGAUUGUGCGGGUUAGAUAGAGAUCAUCAGCCGGGUUGAUUCUACAGGUUAGAUAGAGGUCGUCAGCCGGGUUGAUUGUGCGGGUUAGAUAGAGAUCAUCAGCCGGGUUGAUUGUGCGGGUUAGAUAGAGGUCAUCAGCUGGGUUGAUUGUGUGGGUUAGAUAGAGAUCAUCAGCUGGGUUGAUUGUGUGGGUUAGAUAGAGGUCGUCAGCUGGGUUGAUUGUGCGGGUUAGAUAGAGGUCAUCAGCCGGGUUGAUUCUACAGGUUAGAUAGAGGUCAUCAGCUGGGUUGAUUGUGCGGGUUAGAGAUCAUCAGCCGGGUUGAUUGUGCGGGUUAGAUAGAGGUCAUCAGCUGGGUUGAUUGUGUGGGUUAGAUAGAGGUCAUCAGCUGGGUUGAUUGUGUGGGUUAGAUAGAGGUCAUCAGCUGGGUUGAUUGUAUGGGUUAGAUAGAGGUCAUCAGCUGGGUUGAUUGUACGGGUUAGAUAGAGGUCGUCAGCCGGGUUGAUUCCGCAGGUUAGAUAGAGGUCGUUAGCUGGGUGUGUGGGUCCCAAGGCGUGCUGCAGAUGGAGAAUCAGAAUUCCUUGGGCAUCACCGGGCGGGGCAUGUCCCUGUCCCUUCGCUCCCAGACCCAGGCUAGCCGCUACCAGGACUCCUAUCGAGAGCUCUUCAGACACUUUGUCAGAACCCUUAAAGGUGGGUGACGUUUUCAGGAGGAACCUGGGAUGUCCUGAUGCUCAAUGGGUAGAUGCCUUCCAGGCUGCAGUCAGUGCAGAUGAUAUGCCAAUUUCAGGUGGAAAAUUGCAUUCCAGAUACCGGGUUCAGAUUUGAAAUUGUCCAUCUCAGUGAUCAUUUACGUUGCGUGUACUUGAGGGAGAUUCUGAGAGAUGCUCCUUUGGGGUUCUGUGCGUGUACCAUGUUGCCUGACACGUCCUGAGAAAUCUUCUUAAACUCUGAGUUUAUAAAAUAACUACUUCUGAACUCCUGAGAUCUAGUGGAUACCAUGUAUCCUGGAAGAUAGGACACUUUCUACCCUCUGUCAGUCCUGGGGGUGACUGGGAACCAGAGAGGUUGAGCAGAAUUCCUGGACCUGGGUGGGGCUUGUCCAAGAGGGGCAGGUGGGCCUCUCUAGGAUCAGUGUCCCACCCAGAGGCCAGUGGCCCCUUCACAUGCCCCAACAAGAGGAAGACUGUCUGGCUCCGCAGUGUUGGGUUUUGUCCUGAAUCUGUGCAAAUGUGCAGGGAAAUAACCUCCUGAAAUCACCAAAGAGCAGUUCCUCAGGGCCUUCCGGGUGACCGUGGCCGUGGAGCAGUCGUGGUGAAACCGGUCAGCUGUGGACCUGCCCUGCGAAUCGGCAGAGGCCUCCGUGGUGAAGACAGAAGCUCCGUGAACCAACUCGAGGCUGGAGCCAAGAUCCUGCCUGAUAUCCAGUUGCCUGUUUCACUUGUUACUGUUACUGGGAGAGGGAGACAAAACCUCAUGGCAAUCUUGUCCUCACUGGAGACUCAGAAGGGGAAGCAUUGGGAAACCAUGUAUGUUUCAUUUCUGGUUUAACCAGGCUUUUCAGGAUGGGACUUCAGACCAAGGACACAAGUUGGGCUUGCUUAGGUGUUUUGUGUUGUGCGCAGGCCUCAGAGAUGCUCUUCCGGUCAGAGUUCCCUUGGCAGGGCCUUGGAGGCCUCUGGUUGGCUCUCUCAGGAAGAGGGCAGGUCAGGGAUUGGGCGGUGUAAAUUGACUCAGAAACCUGCGGUUUCAGCUUUUCUGUGGCAAACAGGGCCGAGGGCUGGUGAAGCUGUUAAGGCUAAAUGUCGCAUGCAUGAGGCGGGCUGCAGGCCUCCUUAGGCCUUUUUUGGGGUAAUUACACCAGUAUUUAAAAACAUUUUUUUUUGUUUGUUUUGAGAUGGAGUCUUGCCCUGUCACCCAGGCUGGAGUGCAAUGGUGCGAUCUCGGCUCACUGCAACCUCCGUCUCCCAGGUUCAAGCGAUUCUUCUGCCUCAGCCUUCUGAGUAGCUGGGAUUACACGCGUGUGCCACCACGCUCGGCUAAUUUUUGUAUUUUUAGUAGAGAUGGGAUUUCACCAUGUUGGCCAGGCUGGUCUCGAACUACUGACCUCGUGAUCCACCUGCCAUGGCCUCCCAAAGUGCUGGGAUUACAGGCGUGAGCCACCAUGCUCGGCCUAAAAAACAAUUUUCUUGAAGAAUCCGAUUUUGUGCAUAGUAAUGACACAGCACCAUUCCUGAGAAAUAGGAAAUAUAUGUGUGUGGUAUGAAAAGCCCAUAUUCUGUUCUUGUCACCUGAAUCUAGGCUUCCUCUUUGGAUGUGAACGCGGGAAUGAACAGUGGCUGUUUUCCACCCAAAGGGGCGUGGAGACCUUUUGGAAACGGGCUUUCUCCUUUCCAUUUUGCAGCCGGGGGCGGGUGGAAACCUUCCUUCGAAGGGUAGUGCCUUGGGGAGCAGCAGACCUGCUCUGAGUCCAGCUUAGCUUUCCAAAAUUCUGUGUGGAACUUACUGGAGAUGUUUUUAUAUAUUUGAAAAUAAUGGCCUGUAUUUCUCACGCUAUACUUAAAAAAAAUAACUAACCUUUUAAAC